This 251-nucleotide long non-coding RNA is filed under the name Elaeis guineensis (African oil palm). RNAcentral's name for it is "long non-coding RNA (EGUI_LNC057791)". The record is from RNAcentral. Lineage: Eukaryota; Viridiplantae; Streptophyta; Magnoliopsida; Arecales; Arecaceae.
GCAACUUUUGCCCUAUUGCCAUUUUUAAGGGUUACUUCCUUAGCUCUCUACCUUCCCAUAGACUCUAUACUAAAGUGCAUAAAAAUACUAGAGUCUAAACUCAACUGGGAGAAAAAAAAAUUGUAAGGAUAGUAUUGAGCAAUUUUGAUGUGCCUACUCAAAGCAUGUCCUAGUUUCUUUAGGCUCUCUAGGUAUGUACCUCUAAACUCUUUCAAGCUUCCUUAGUUACCAACACUUUGACCAAUUCAGAU